CCUACGGGUGGCAGCAGUGGGGAAUAUUGGGCAAUGGGCGCAAGCCUGACCCAGCAACGCCGCGUGAAGGAAGAAGGCUUUCGGGUUGUAAACUUCUUUCAACAGGGAAGAGAAGAAGACGGUACCUGUCAGAUAACCCACGGCUAACUACGUGCCCGCAGCCGCGGUAAUACGUAGGGGGAGCGCGUUGUGCGGAUUUACUGGGUGUAAAGGGCGUGUAGGCGGGCUGACAAGUCUGAUGUGAAAUCCGGGGGCUCAACCCCCGAACUGCAUUUGAGACUGUGGGUCUUGAGUAUCGGAGAGGCAAGCGGAAUUCCUAGUGUAGCGGUGAAAUGCGUAGAUAUUAGGAGGAACACCAGUGGCGAAGGCGGCUUGCUGGACUACAACUGACGGUGAGGCGCGAAAGCGUGGGGAGCAAACAGGAUUAGAUACCCCAGUAGUC
RNAcentral lists this ribosomal RNA (442 nucleotides) under uncultured bacterium. Its description in RNAcentral is "partial 16S ribosomal RNA". It matches the Rfam family "Bacterial small subunit ribosomal RNA", at positions 338 to 795 of the family's 1533-position model. The record is from RNAcentral.